This 73-nucleotide transfer RNA is filed under the name Operophtera brumata (winter moth). It matches the Rfam family "tRNA". From Rfam's summary of the family: Transfer RNA (tRNA) molecules are approximately 80 nucleotides in length. Their secondary structure includes four short double-helical elements and three loops (D, anti-codon, and T loops). Further hydrogen bonds mediate the characteristic L-shaped molecular structure. tRNAs have two regions of fundamental functional importance: the anti-codon, which is responsible for specific mRNA codon recognition, and the 3' end, to which the tRNAs corresponding amino acid is attached (by aminoacyl-tRNA synthetases). tRNAs cope with the degeneracy of the genetic code in two manners: having more than one tRNA (with a specific anti-codon) for a particular amino acid; and 'wobble' base-pairing, i.e. permitting non-standard base-pairing at the 3rd anti-codon position. The record is from Rfam by way of RNAcentral. Lineage: Eukaryota; Metazoa; Arthropoda; Insecta; Lepidoptera; Geometridae.
CAGCCAGUGGCGGAGCGGUCCAACGCAUCGCCGUAUCAAGGGACAAUUGCGGGUUCGAAUCCCGUCUUGUUGA